CGCAGCUUGGGUAGCUUCAUGCUGAGAGGAAGCGAAGGGAUGAGAGAAGGACACUUGUUUGCUGGUCCAAAGAACUUUUAUUCCCCCAUGCGUGGUGGGAUGCUCUCUGGACUGAAUGCAGUGCAAAUGCCACCAGACAAAGAACUUGCAACAGAUUAAGUAGGGGGUGGGCGGACAGGGGUGGAAACCUGCCUCGCCCUAUAGGGACAAACAACAGGGGCGUGACAUGGAUUAUAACAACCUAUAGGAACAUAACAGAGCUUGUGCCCAUUGCCUCUGAUCAUGUCACUUGGGACCACUGGACACAUCUUCUCUGCAUCCUUCAUUCAGUAUGUGCAUGUUUGUGCUGAGGAACCCAGAAGAGCUGGGCACACACAACACUCCAGGCGUGAACUCACCAGUGUUGCAUAAAAAAAAGAAGGAACACACAACUCCAACAGCAGGGGCCUUCUCUUCUCAAGGCACUGACAAAGAGGUCUGGGCAUUUCAAGUUCUUUAAUCAGCAGUCACUGAUUGGAGUCAAGUUUACUUAGCUUUGUGGUCUCAGCUUUGAAUAGUCCCUUGGAGAAUG
Vidua chalybeata is the source of this 571-nucleotide long non-coding RNA. RefSeq lists it as uncharacterized. The record is from RefSeq and is a predicted model, not a curated record. The transcript is spliced from 4 exons. Lineage: Eukaryota; Metazoa; Chordata; Aves; Passeriformes; Viduidae.